RNAcentral lists this ribosomal RNA (245 nucleotides) under uncultured bacterium. RNAcentral describes it as "partial 16S ribosomal RNA". It matches the Rfam family "Bacterial small subunit ribosomal RNA", at positions 524 to 768 of the family's 1533-position model. The record is from RNAcentral.
UACGUAUGGGGCGAGCGUUAUUCGGAUUCAUUGGGCGUAAAGCGUAUGUCGGGGGCUUGUUAAGUCGAGGGUGAAAUUUUCUCGCUCAACGUGAAAAUUGCUUUCGAAACUGACAAGCUGGAGUUUUGGAGAGGAGAUUGGAAUUCCAGGUGUAGGGGUGAAAUCUGUAGAUAUCUGGAAGAACACCAGUGGCGAAGGCGAAUCUCUGGCCAAAAACUGACCCUUAGAUACGAAAGCCAGGGGAG